GAUGAACGCUGGCGGCGUGCCUAAUACAUGCCAGUCGAGCGAACAGACGAGGAGCUUGCUCCUCUGACGUUAGCGGCGGACGGGUGAGUAACACGUGGAUAACCUACCUAUAAGACUGGGAUAACUUCGGGAAACCGGAGCUAAUACCGGAUAAUAUAUUGAACCGCAUGGUUCAAUAGUGAAAGACGGUUUUGCUGUCUCUUAUAGAUGGAUCCGCGCCGCAUUAGCUAGUUGGUAAGGUAACGGCUUACCAAGGCAACGAUGCGUAGCCGACCUGAGAGGGUGAUCGGCCACACUGGAACUGAGACACGGUCCAGACUCCUACGGGAGGCAGCAGUAGGGAAUCUUCCGCAAUGGGCGAAAGCCUGACGGAGCAACGCCGCGUGAGUGAUGAAGGUCUUCGGAUCGUAAAACUCUGUUAUUAGGGAAGAACAAAUGUGUAAGUAACUAUGCACGUCUUGACGGUACCUAAUCAGAAAGCCACGGCUAACUACGUG
RNAcentral lists this ribosomal RNA (497 nucleotides) under uncultured bacterium. Its description in RNAcentral is "partial 16S ribosomal RNA". It matches the Rfam family "Bacterial small subunit ribosomal RNA", at positions 28 to 507 of the family's 1533-position model. The record is from RNAcentral.